CUACGUGCCAGCAGCCGCGGUAAUACGUAGGUCCCGAGCGUUGUCCGGAUUUAUUGGGCGUAAAGCGAGCGCAGGCGGUUUGAUAAGUCUGAAGUUAAAGGCUGUGGCUCAACCAUAGUUCGCUUUGGAAACUGUCAAACUUGAGUGCAGAAGGGGAGAGUGGAAUUCCAUGUGUAGCGGUGAAAUGCGUAGAUAUAUGGAGGAACACCGGUGGCGAAAGCGGCUCUCUGGUCUGUAACUGACGCUGAGGCUCGAAAGCGUGGGGAGCGAACAGGAUUAGAUACCCUGGUAGUCCACGCCGUAAACGAUGAGUGCUAGGUGUUGGACCCUUUCCGGGGUUUAGUGCCGCAGCUAACGCAUUAAGCACUCCGCCUGGGGAGUACGACCGCAAGGUUGAAACUCAAAGGAAUUGACGGGGGCCCGCACAAGCGGUGGAGCAUGUGGUUUAAUUCGAAGCAACGCGAAGAACCUUACCAGGUCUUGACAUCCCUCUGACCGCUCUAGAGAUAGAGCUUUC
This 517-nucleotide ribosomal RNA is filed under the name uncultured bacterium. RNAcentral describes it as "bacterial SSU rRNA". It matches the Rfam family "Bacterial small subunit ribosomal RNA", at positions 501 to 1016 of the family's 1533-position model. The record is from RNAcentral.